AUUGAACGCUGGCGGCAUGCCUUACACAUGCAAGUCGAACGGCAGCACGGGUGCUUGCACCUGGUGGCGAGUGGCGAACGGGUGAGUAAUACAUCGGAACGUACCUUAUCGUGGGGGAUAACGCAGCGAAAGCUGUGCUAAUACCGCAUACGCCCUGAGGGGGAAAGCGGGGGAUCGAAAGACCUCGCGCGAUUAGAGCGGCCGAUGCCUGAUUAGCUUGUUGGUGGGGUAAAAGCCCACCAAGGCGACGAUCAGUAGCUGGUCUGAGAGGACGAUCAGCCACACCGGGACUGAGACACGGCCCAGACUCCUACGGGAGGCAGCAGUGGGGAAUUUUGGACGAUGGGGGCAACCCUGAUCCAGCAAUGCCGCGUGAGUGAAGAAGGCCUUCGGGUUGUAAAGCUCUUUUGUCAGGGAAGAAACACCGGCUCUAACACAGUCCGGGAAUGACGGUACCUGAAGAAUAAGCACCGGCUAACUACGUGCCAGCCGCCGCAGUAA
This 501-nucleotide ribosomal RNA is filed under the name uncultured bacterium. RNAcentral describes it as "partial 16S ribosomal RNA". It matches the Rfam family "Bacterial small subunit ribosomal RNA", at positions 29 to 523 of the family's 1533-position model. The record is from RNAcentral.